This 468-nucleotide ribosomal RNA is filed under the name uncultured bacterium. RNAcentral describes it as "partial 16S ribosomal RNA". It matches the Rfam family "Bacterial small subunit ribosomal RNA", at positions 28 to 507 of the family's 1533-position model. The record is from RNAcentral.
GACGAACGCUGGCGGCGUGCUUAACACAUGCAAGUCGAACGGAAAGGCCCUGCUUUUGUGGGGUGCUCGAGUGGCGAACGGGUGAGUAACACGUGAGUAACCUGCCCUUGACUUUGGGAUAACUUCAGGAAACUGGGGCUAAUACCGGAUAGGAGCUCCUGCUGCAUGGUGGGGGUUGGAAAGUUUCGGCGGUUGGGGAUGGACUCGCGGCUUAUCAGCUUGUUGGUGGGGUAGUGGCUUACCAAGGCUUUGACGGGUAGCCGGCCUGAGAGGGUGACCGGCCACAUUGGGACAGAGAUACGGCCCGGACUCAUACGGGAGGCAGCAGCGGGGAAUAUUGCACGAUGGGCGGAAGCCUGAUGCAGCAACGCCGCGUGCGGGAUGACGGCCUUCGGGUUGUAAACCGCGUUCGCCUGUGACGAAGCGUGAGUGAAGGUAAUGGGUAAAGAAGCACCGGCUCACUACGUG